RNAcentral lists this unclassified non-coding RNA (216 nucleotides) under Hevea brasiliensis (rubber tree). The record is from RNAcentral. Lineage: Eukaryota; Viridiplantae; Streptophyta; Magnoliopsida; Malpighiales; Euphorbiaceae.
CGAGGCUUGAUCGCUAUCCAGCCUCGUGCUCAAAGACCCGGGAUUAUUUCGUUUGAAGGACCAAUCAUGACGACUUUGACGCUCGACGUUGCCCGCAAGAUUUCCGCCCUCGCCAAGUGCCGGGAACUGAAACUGAAGCCGAUGGCCAUCGCGAUCCUCGAUGCGCGCGGCGCGCUCAAGACGUUCGUGGCGGAAGACAAUACCAGCCUGCUGCGC